This 250-nucleotide ribosomal RNA is filed under the name uncultured prokaryote. Its description in RNAcentral is "partial 16S rRNA". It matches the Rfam family "Bacterial small subunit ribosomal RNA", at positions 525 to 775 of the family's 1533-position model. The record is from RNAcentral.
ACGUAGGGGACGAGCGGUGAAAGGAAAAAAUGGGAGAAAAGGGAGAGUAGGAGGUGAGGGAAGAAAGAAGGGCAAGGGGGGGGAGAAACCGGAUCAUGCGGUUGAAACUGGAUGACUGGAGUGCUGGAGAGGCAAGUGGAAUUCCCAGUGUAGCGGUGAAAUGCGUAGAUAUUGGGAAGAACACCGGUGGCGAAGGCGACUUGCUGGCCAGCAACUGACGCUGAGGCGCGAAAGCCAGGGGAGCAAACGG